RNAcentral lists this long non-coding RNA (1002 nucleotides) under Canis lupus familiaris (dog). RNAcentral's name for it is "lncRNA (ENSCAFG00040008972.1)". The record is from RNAcentral. Lineage: Eukaryota; Metazoa; Chordata; Mammalia; Carnivora; Canidae.
AUGUGGACAGGGAAGUUGACAGGAAGGGGGGAAGGAUGGACGGAUGGAAGGAAGGAAGGAGGAAGGAAGGAAGGAGGAAGAGAGGGAGGGAGGGAGGAUGAAAGGAAGGAAGAAGGAGGGAGGGAGGAAGGAAGGAAGGAAGGAGGAGGGAAGAAGGAGGAAGGGAGGGCAGGAGGGAAGAAAAAAGAGGAAGAUAUAUAUAUAAAUGGACACAGCGCAAGCAGAUGGAGGUGUGGCCUUGAGAGGCUGCAGUCUGGCCCUGGGGGUCACUGUGCGCCCCCGAGGUCACUGUGCGUCCCCGAGGUCACUGUGCCCCCGAGGUCACUGUGCGUCCCCGAGGUCACUGUGCCCCCGAGGUCACUGUGUCCCCGAGGUCACUGUGUAUCCGCGAGGUCACUGUGUCCCCGAGGUCACUGUGUGUCCCCGGGGCCACUGUGCCCCCGAGGUCACUGUGUGUCCCCGGCACCUCUGGGGAAGGGGAGCAAGCGCCGGGCAUCUGGCCUAGCAGGAGACACAGAGGACCCCAAAGCCGUCUCCACCCCUGACUUAAAAGCCUGGGGGGCCCAGGAACCUCGCUUGGGGCUUGGUGGGGGGGGUGGAAAAACCAAGCUGCGCUCAAGCCCGCUCCCCCUGCGCCCGGGACCCUUGGGCCCGCUGCUGCUUCCAGCCCCCGUCCCAGCGCCCCUGACUCCACAGGCUCCUCGGCUGCCCGAGGCCCCGCAGUCCCCGCGUGCUGCACGGGGCGCGGGUGGUCGCGGCAAGGCCGGGCUCCCCACAUCCCGCCGGGGAGCGAGGGGUGCCAAUGGAGGGCCCGCUUGGCCAGCCCCGCGAUGUCCCGGCCGAGGCACUGCUGCCAGCAGCCACGUCCCCCUCGGCAAGACGGGGGGCCCGCAGCCCCUCCUGCAACCCCGCGCUCCGGCACGUGCAGUCCAGUCCGGCCACCAGGCCCAUACUUCCUCUUUUUCCAGACCAAUAUUCUAUUACUCCUCACAAGUUUAUUAG